GUCUGGACAGCUAUGUGAUCCUGACUUGUUUUAAUGCAACACUGAGGUCAGAGAAAGCACCAGUUUCUUGAAACCACCUGAGUGAUCCAAGAGGAAAUUGAGGCAAAGAAACUUGGAGGUGUUGGAACACAGUGCUGACCCUCCUAGAAACUUCCUUUGUGUCCCAGCCAAGGGUUUUUCAGCCUCCACCCCACCAUUCAGCUCUGGGUGACACUGGGGACCCACACCACUGACUGGAGCAGGAGGUACACCUUAGCUUUCAACUCAAAAUGUGACAUUUAUCUUCAGAGAGACUCCAACACAUGCACUGGCACGUUCUUGCACUGCAUCUGUGCAGGCAAGGAACUGUGGGGCAGAAAUUCCAGAGUGUUUGAAUAAAAGCUUGGUGGAG
Molecule: long non-coding RNA, 391 nt
Filed under: Zonotrichia albicollis (white-throated sparrow)
Lineage: Eukaryota; Metazoa; Chordata; Aves; Passeriformes; Passerellidae
Description: lncRNA (ENSZALG00000003475.1)
Source: RNAcentral